Sus scrofa (pig) is the source of this 2245-nucleotide non-coding RNA. Lineage: Eukaryota; Metazoa; Chordata; Mammalia; Artiodactyla; Suidae. The record is from RefSeq and is a predicted model, not a curated record.
GCAACCCGGCUUUCCGGUCCGGGGAGGGCCGCAUCCCCUGCACUUUGGGUCCGGCCCGCCUGCUCGGGCUCCCGAACGCCCUUGCGCCGCCCUCGACACGCUGCCGACGGCCUGUGCAGCUCGCGGUACAGUCUCCCCUGGAGCGACCCUAUAGGCCAGCCCGCCGACCAUGCCUGCGGGCGUGUCCUGGACGUCCUACCUGAAAAUGUUCGCCGCCAGUCUCCUGGCCAUGUGCGCCGGCGCGGAGGUGGUGCACAGGUACUACCGGCCGGACCUGACAAUACCCGAAAUUCCACCAAAGCCCGGAGAACUCAAAACAGAGCUUUUGGGAUUGAAAGAGCUACAACGAGAACCUCAAGAUCCAACUCUGCCAAGAACUCUGUGAAUAGCAGUGUGAGAGUUAAAUGUGCAUUUUUAAAAUUCAUUUCGUCAAACUACUUGUUAAGCACCCAAUACAAUGCUGACUGAAACAGGAAGUGCUCACUAGAUGUUAACUGAUGCAUUGAGAUUUAAUUAUGGUUUGACCAGUGUUUCUUGAAAACUGCCAAAGCUUUUACCAUUGCUUUCUUUAAUGUGGUUUGAUAAAUACUUUUUUUAGGGCUGCACCUCUGGCAUAUGGAAAUUCCCAGGCUAGGCAGGAAUUGAAUCAGAGCUAUAGCUGCCGGCCACAGCCACAGCAACACCAGAUCCGUGCCUCACCUGCGACCUACACCACAGCUCACGGCGGUGCCAGAUCCUUAACCCACUGAGCGGGGCCAGGGAUUGAACCUGCAUCCUUUUGGAUCCUAGUCAAGUUCUUUAACCUCUGAGCCACAAUAGGAACUCCCAAUAAAUACUUAGUCUUGAAUAUCAUGUGAGAUAGAAUUUUGCAGUGUCUCCUGCCCUUAUAAUUCUGGUUUAUUUCUCUGAAUAAGCUUAACUAUAAUGGCAAAUGAGAAUUAUAAAUUAAGUAUAAUAAAAAUGACAUUGACCAUGAAAGCUUAUGGUGAGAAUUUAAUAUUUCUCUAAAUUUUGGAAAGUACUGUUUGUACUAAACUGAAUUCAGUUGAAAUAUUUACAUUCUGAAAUUUUUUUGAAACUGUUUACGUAACAAAAUUAAAAUAAUUGUGACUUGGACAGUCACAAGCUCUUUACCUCCAAAUUGGAGAAACCAUUCGGCAUUUCUCUUGUAACAUGUAAAGUGACAGAUAAACGAGUAUGGUUAUGGGUUGAAUCGUACCCCCCCGAAAAGUUGUUGAAGUCCUAACUCCCAGUACCUGUGAAUGUGUAUUUGAAAAUAUAAAGAUGAGGUCAUAGAGUUGGCCCUAAUCCAGUGUGAAUAGUGCCUUUUUAUAAGAAGAGGAAAGACAGACACACAGGAGAACACCGGGUGACAACAAAGGUGAAGAUUGGAGUCCUGUGGCCACAAGCUGGGGGACACCCCAGAAACUGGAAAGAGGCAGGAAAGGAUUCGACUGUCUCGGAGCAAGGAAGGGCCUGCUAACACUGGGAUUUCAGACUUCUGGACUCCAGAGCUGUGAGAGGAUGAACUUCUGUUGUUUUGCCAGUUCGUGGUACUUUUGGAUUGAAGGCCUGGGAAACUAAUACUAAUGUUUUAGCCCUUUCCCAAGUCUAUAAAAGCAGGACAGAAGUAAUUUAUAGAGCAGUCAGCUUCAUGUUCAAGGCUCUUGUUCCCAAAGAAGUUUCUUUAUGCAUUCCUCAUAUCUAGGCUUAUUAUUUCUCAGGCAGUUAGCAAAUUUCUACACCAUACAGAUUUUAGGGGCCUGGGUUGAAAUCUUAAAUUCUAAGUGCAAAAAAAAAAAAAAAAAAAAAAAAAAAAAAAAAAAAAACAACCCACAAAAAACAAAGUGUUUCCCUUUUCAUAGCCAAUGUCCUUCUCAGUUUAAUAGUACAAAGCAUCCAAAUGAAAUGGUUUAUUUCCAGGCUCACAUGAGUUUUUCUUUUCCACUGCAUGUCCUCUGGCUCCUUAUCAUAUGCUCCCAGCACACAGAGGACCCUCACUUCUCAGUGACAGGUUUCUAUAGUGGAAAUCAAGCAUCUACCUAUGUAAGUAAUUCUUAAUCUUUUUUGUAGUGUAGACCCCUUAGCAAUAUGAUUAAAGCCUAUAAUUUCCUUCUCAUAGUAAAAAUUUUUAAUGCAGAAUAUAAAAUAAAUGGGAUUAAAAAGAAAACCAGUUGUGCUGAAAUAGUUGUUUUUGAACAUACUUUUGAUUUAGUAAUGUUUCAUCACAUUAUUCUAAAGUAAU